UUUUGAGCCUUUUGACUUUUUCUAUUAUGUGUAGCAGUUUCUGGUCAAGUUUUCUCAGCUUCAGCUACGCCAUGGAGACUUCAUCAUGGAGAAUCGAAUAGCUAUUACGAGCUUCAGCUAUGCCAUUGACAAAUUUAAUGCUGAAUUGGUGUAAGAAUAGCUGAAUUCCACGUGCAGCAUGAAUGCUCCUCUGAUGGUUGAGUUGGAGGGGGAAACUGACCUACUUGAGAUUGCAAUCAAAGAGCUCCAGGAGAGGAAGAUACCCUUCACAAUUCGUCGCUACUUGCCUGAUGGAAGGCAAGACUAACUUUUCCUUUGCCCGUCUUUUUGAGGCCUUAUUGUAAGGAAUGGACACACCGUAUGUGGACACUGCGGAAAAAUUUGAGGUGAAAAAAGAGGAGACAAAAAAUAAUAAAGUAAUUGAAAUGGAAAUGCUGUUAGGUAAGUGUUUGAUGCAGUAUCGGCAAUGAAGAAGGCGUAUGUUAGUUUACAAGAAGCACAUUGCCCUUAGGAUCAGGAUAAAAUGCGCGUGGCUAACGUGCCUAUGGUAUCUGAACUGCGAAAGCUUGGAGUGUUGAGGGAAAGAUUUCAUCGGAAAUUGAAGCAAGAAAUGAAGUCGAAGGAUAUUGAGAUUGAUGAUUUGAAAGAGAAGUUGAAAAUGGCAACGUUGGUUAGUAGCAGCAAUAGUAGUAGGAAGAAAAGUAACAUUGCCGCAAAAUACGCAUUGGAAUCUUAUGUGAACUGAAAAAUGUUCCAAGGAUUCAAUCACAAGACAUUCUACAUGGACGGAAGCUUAUCGUCACUGCUCCAGCUAGACCAACACCGCCGCGAAUGUUUUACACAGUACAGGGACAUGAAAGCAAUGGAUCCAAUGGAACUUCUGGGAAUUCUCCCAACUUGUAGUUUUAGGAACUUCUCUUUCACCAUCCAAGGAGUCAGUUUCACGGGGAGUUUCUUGCGCUAGCAAAGUCUGUUUGGCUGCUGCAUUUGCUGGCCUUUUCUUUGGAUCCUCUACCAAUUCAUUUCGAGGCGAGCAAUGGAUCGGAGUUUCACCCAAAAUUGGGUUUUAAGUUUUUUGGAUGGAGAGAAUCUAACUCCUAGAAAAAGAAUUCGUAAACCAUAUUUACAUCAUGAAUACUUGAAAGAGUAACAUAUUCUUGUGAUAGCCAGUCCAUAUUUGUUAGUUUUGAAGAUCCAAGUGUAGGUGUUCUCAGUGCUUCUACACUGCAAUGGAGAUGUCGGAUCAAUCCUACUUCCUACUUUCCCGCCAAUCCAAGUUCAAGGGUGCAUCCACUUGUUAUCGCUGCACAUCCAUCUAAUCCGAAUCAGUUUACAUUGGGACUAAACGAUGGUGCUGUAAUUGUACUUGAGCAACUUGAGAUUGAAGGCAAAUGGGGAACCUUACCUCCAACAGAAAAUGGUGCUGGGCCAAGCACUUCAGGUGCUGCAAAUUCAGAUCAACACUAGAGGUAGUGUUACCUCGCUGAAACAUGCUGGCAGUUUUUGUUGAAAAGACAAGUAUAUACGGAUAUAGAAUGUCACUGUGGGCAGAGCACAAGGCAACUAUAGAGCAAUGUUUUGAGCGUCUAGAGAGUCUUGAAUGCGUGAGACGGAUGAGAGUAUUUGGUGAACACAACUGGCCACACUACACGGCUAAUGAAGUCACUGAAAUGAGAGGCCACCUUCUUAAGUAUCUGUUGAAGUUGAUCGAACGGGGAGAGUUAAGUUGCUUCAUGUUGAGUUUUUUCCCCUCAUUCUAAGCUUGUGUGGGGAUAUUGUUCUAUCCUUCCCCUUUUAACAGCUGAGUUUCUGGAGCUCACUAAUAACUUAGUUCUUAAGUCUUAACUAUGUAAAUAUCACUGUUAGGUGUUUAGAAUGUUCGCCUUCUGUUAUAAUUCAUAACAAACUCUGAAUAGCAUAUAGAAAGUUAACUGGAUGAAACUACAGUUAUCUGGGCAUGCAUUUGUUGUCUGACUGCAACAGAACAUAUCAAUAGCAUGUACAUAGUCUUCUUAGUCUUCUUUUUUUCUUUUCUGAUUGCAGCAACAAAAUUGUCCUUAUUAAUUCUGAAACAGGCCCUUCUAGAUGUGUACGCCAUUGAAUGAGAAAUAGGAAAAUUUGAUGGUAUAAAACUUGCUCUUGUUGUUGGGCUAGCUUAUGGGAGGGCAGUUCAUUCACUUGCUCGCUUGCAAAGUACCAAGAUGUGAAAAUUUACUUAGCAUCCCCUGAUGUGGUUAAAAUGAAGGAUCAUUUCACAUCAAUGGGGGUUCACUGCGAAGAAAGUGAUGAUCUGUUGGAGGUGGCUUCUAAAUGUGAUGUGGUAUAUCAAACUCAUAUUCAAAGAGAAACAUUUGGAGAGAGGGUUGAUUUGUAUGAAGAAUCUCGAGGGAAGUAUAUCGUGGAUCUGAGUGUCUUAAAUGCUAUGCAGAAACAUACAGUAGUGAUGCGUCCUUUGCCAAGACUUGAUGAGUUAACUGUCGAUGUGGAUGGGGAUCUAAGGGUUGCUUAUUUCUGACAAGCUAAGAAUGGUCUUUACAUUUGGAUGGCUCUUUAGAAGCUUCUACUACUUGUUGGUGACAAAUGCAAACUUUCUAUAUCUGGAAUAUUGCGAAAACAUGCUUCAAGCUAAGUUUUUAUAUAAAUUUUUCCUCCACAAAUAUGUGUUAUCACUCCUUAAGUUAUCAGUCAAACUAAUAAGCAUCAUGAUGUUGUCAGUGGCACUUCAAAGCAAUAUGUUGCUGAUGAUUAUGCCAAAUGACUGUUGAUAGGUUACUAGCAGGCUGAGGAUAUAGUGUCAAGUUCACUCGCUUGUAUGGUGGAACCAGCUUCAGCAUCUGGAUGCAAACUGGCUGGAACUUUUAUAUAUCUAGCACGAGUGUGGUAUCGAUUACAGUUUUCCACUCAACCAAAUGGUCAGAGGCUGGCAAGAAUCGAAAGGAAAAGACUUGAGUUGCGUUGACCUUGAAGAAUCUAAAGGCAGUAUCCAUUCAAGGCCUACUGGAUUUGCUGAGUCCUUCACAUCAGUUGAUUGUAUGUAAAACAAGGUUCUGCACUAUGUGUAGUUGAUCUGAUUAUCCUAUUCAAUAAAUGUGGAUAGCAUUUUUAUU
This is a long non-coding RNA of Capsicum annuum, 3107 nucleotides long. RefSeq lists it as uncharacterized. NCBI's taxonomy places the organism in Eukaryota, Viridiplantae, Streptophyta, Magnoliopsida, Solanales, Solanaceae. The transcript is spliced from 9 exons. The record is from RefSeq and is a predicted model, not a curated record.